The sequence is a ribosomal RNA, 976 nucleotides long. The stretch from base 658 to 934 matches the Rfam family "Bacterial large subunit ribosomal RNA", at positions 2074 to 2646 of the family's 2925-position model.
UAAAAAGUUUGUGUAAUUUGUUAUUUUUAGGUUUAUGUUCCUUUUGCAUCAUGAUUAAAAGAAAAAUAUUAGUUUAUCUCUUUUAACCGAAAGCUAAGGAUCUUGAUAUUUACUGAUAAAGAUUUUGUUUAUUAGGCUGAUCCCGGGUAGGGUCAGUGAGAUAUUUAUUAUGUUUUGAUAAAUUAGUCGUCUUAGCUUAUAUCUGUUUAUUGACUUUUUAUUUAUUAUUAUCCCCCCAGCGAGGAGGUUGGGGCGACGUACAUACUCUACUUUAUAAGUGCUAUGGUAAGGUUAAAAUUACCUUUCUAUGAGGAGUUUAUUACAAAUCUUAUAAUAUUGUAAGGAGUUGUGUAUAUUAAGAGUCAUUCAAUGCUUAAUAAUUUGUAAUUGGUAUAUUUUUAAAUAAGUAAUAUUAAUUUCUUGUUAUUGUUUCUCAAAACUUGCCCGUCUGUUUAUUAAAAACAUUUCUAUAUUUAAUGUUGUAUAGUAGUGCCUGCUCUAUGUAUCUUAUAAAUGGCCGCAGUAUAUUGACUGUGCGAAGGUAGCAUAAUUAAUUGCCUUAUAAUUGAGGGCUUGUCUGAAUGGUUUGACGAGGUAAGGAAAAACAUUAGCGGUUUUGUUGAAAUUACUGAAGAUGGCACAGAAGCCUCUUUGUUUAAUUAGACGGAAAGACCCCGGGAUCUUUUAUUUUUGCUUGGGGCAAGUUAGAGUAUUUUACUUUUAUUAGGACCCUUUUGGUUUAAUGAGUUAAGUUACCCCGGGGAUAACAGUGUAAUAGCUUAUUAGAGAUCUUAUCGAUUAAGUUGUUUGUUACCUCGAUGUUGACUUAGGUUUAUGCCCCAGGCGCAGUAGUUUGGGGAUUAGGUCUGUUCGACCCUGUAACCUCCAUGAGUUGAGUUAAGACCGGCGUGAGCCAGGUCGGUUCUUAUCUAUUGUUGUGGCUUGUUAGUACGAAAGGAUUGCAAGCCGUUUUUUU